GGGUUGUGAGGUUAAGCGACUAAGCGUACACGGUGGAUGCCCUGGCAGUCAGAGGCGAUGAAGGACGUGCUAAUCUGCGAUAAGCGUCGGUGAGGUGAUAUGAACCGUUAUAACCGGCGAUUUCCGAAUGGGGAAACCCAGUGUGUUUCGACACACUAUCAUUAACUGAAUCCAUAGGUUAAUGAGGCGAACCGGGGGAACUGAAACAUCUAAGUACCCCGAGGAAAAGAAAUCAACCGAGAUUCCCCCAGUAGCGGCGAGCGAACGGGGAGGAGCCCAGAGCCUGAAUCAGUGUGUGUGUUAGUGGAAGCGUCUGGAAAGGCGCGCGAUACAGGGUGACAGCCCCGUACACAAAAAUGCACAUAUUGUGAGCUCGAUGAGUAGGGCGGGACACGUGGUAUCCUGUCUGAAUAUGGGGGGACCAUCCUCCAAGGCUAAAUACUCCUGACUGACCGAUAGUGAACCAGUACCGUGAGGGAAAGGCGAAAAGAACCCCGGCGAGGGGAGUGAAAAAGAACCUGAAACCGUGUACGUACAAGCAGUGGGAGCCUCUUUAUGGGGUGACUGCGUACCUUUUGUAUAAUGGGUCAGCGACUUAUAUUCUGUAGCAAGGUUAACCGAAUAGGGGAGCCGAAGGGAAACCGAGUCUUAACUGGGCGUUAAGUUGCAGGGUAUAGACCCGAAACCCGGUGAUCUAGCCAUGGGCAGGUUGAAGGUUGGGUAACACUAACUGGAGGACCGAACCGACUAAUGUUGAAAAAUUAGCGGAUGACUUGUGGCUGGGGGUGAAAGGCCAAUCAAACCGGGAGAUAGCUGGUUCUCCCCGAAAGCUAUUUAGGUAGCGCCUCGUGAAUUCAUCUCCGGGGGUAGAGCACUGUUUCGGCAAGGGGGUCAUCCCGACUUACCAACCCGAUGCAAACUGCGAAUACCGGAGAAUGUUAUCACGGGAGACACACGGCGGGUGCUAACGUCCGUCGUGAAGAGGGAAACAACCCAGACCGCCAGCUAAGGUCCCAAAGUCAUGGUUAAGUGGGAAACGAUGUGGGAAGGCCCAGACAGCCAGGAUGUUGGCUUAGAAGCAGCCAUCAUUUAAAGAAAGCGUAAUAGCUCACUGGUCGAGUCGGCCUGCGCGGAAGAUGUAACGGGGCUAAACCAUGCACCGAAGCUGCGGCAGCGACACUAUGUGUUGUUGGGUAGGGGAGCGUUCUGUAAGCCUGUGAAGGUGGCCUGUGAGGGUGGCUGGAGGUAUCAGAAGUGCGAAUGCUGACAUAAGUAACGAUAAAGCGGGUGAAAAGCCCGCUCGCCGGAAGACCAAGGGUUCCUGUCCAACGUUAAUCGGGGCAGGGUGAGUCGACCCCUAAGGCGAGGCCGAAAGGCGUAGUCGAUGGGAAACAGGUUAAUAUUCCUGUACUUGGUGUUACUGCGAAGGGGGGACGGAGAAGGCUAUGUUGGCCGGGCGACGGUUGUCCCGGUUUAAGCGUGUAGGCUGGUUUUCCAGGCAAAUCCGGAAAACCAAGGCUGAGGCGUGAUGACGAGGCACUACGGUGCUGAAGCGACAAAUGCCCUGCUUCCAGGAAAAGCCUCUAAGCAUCAGGUAACAUCAAAUCGUACCCCAAACCGACACAGGUGGUCAGGUAGAGAAUACCAAGGCGCUUGAGAGAACUCGGGUGAAGGAACUAGGCAAAAUGGUGCCGUAACUUCGGGAGAAGGCACGCUGAUAUGUAGGUGAAGCGACUUGCUCGUGGAGCUGAAAUCAGUCGAAGAUACCAGCUGGCUGCAACUGUUUAUUAAAAACACAGCACUGUGCAAACACGAAAGUGGACGUAUACGGUGUGACGCCUGCCCGGUGCCGGAAGGUUAAUUGAUGGGGUUAGCGGUAACGCGAAGCUCUUGAUCGAAGCCCCGGUAAACGGCGGCCGUAACUAUAACGGUCCUAAGGUAGCGAAAUUCCUUGUCGGGUAAGUUCCGACCUGCACGAAUGGCGUAAUGAUGGCCAGGCUGUCUCCACCCGAGACUCAGUGAAAUUGAACUCGCUGUGAAGAUGCAGUGUACCCGCGGCAAGACGGAAAGACCCCGUGAACCUUUACUAUAGCUUGACACUGAACAUUGAGCCUUGAUGUGUAGGAUAGGUGGGAGGCUUUGAAGUGUGGACGCCAGUCUGCAUGGAGCCGACCUUGAAAUACCACCCUUUAAUGUUUGAUGUUCUAACGUUGGCCCGUAAUCCGGGUUGCGGACAGUGUCUGGUGGGUAGUUUGACUGGGGCGGUCUCCUCCUAAAGAGUAACGGAGGAGCACGAAGGUUGGCUAAUCCUGGUCGGACAUCAGGAGGUUAGUGCAAUGGCAUAAGCCAGCUUGACUGCGAGCGUGACGGCGCGAGCAGGUGCGAAAGCAGGUCAUAGUGAUCCGGUGGUUCUGAAUGGAAGGGCCAUCGCUCAACGGAUAAAAGGUACUCCGGGGAUAACAGGCUGAUACCGCCCAAGAGUUCAUAUCGACGGCGGUGUUUGGCACCUCGAUGUCGGCUCAUCACAUCCUGGGGCUGAAGUAGGUCCCAAGGGUAUGGCUGUUCGCCAUUUAAAGUGGUACGCGAGCUGGGUUUAGAACGUCGUGAGACAGUUCGGUCCCUAUCUGCCGUGGGCGCUGGAGAACUGAGGGGGGCUGCUCCUAGUACGAGAGGACCGGAGUGGACGCAUCACUGGUGUUCGGGUUGUCAUGCCAAUGGCACUGCCCGGUAGCUAAAUGCGGAAGAGAUAAGUGCUGAAAGCAUCUAAGCACGAAACUUGCCCCGAGAUGAGUUCUCCCUGACUCCUUGAGAGUCCUGAAGGAACGUUGAAGACGACGACGUUGAUAGGCCGGGUGUGUAAGCGCAGCGAUGCGUUGAGCUAACCGGUACUAAUGAACCGUGAGGCUUAACCUUACAACGCCGAAG
RNAcentral lists this ribosomal RNA (2925 nucleotides) under Escherichia coli. RNAcentral's name for it is "23S ribosomal RNA". It matches the Rfam family "Bacterial large subunit ribosomal RNA". Lineage: Bacteria; Pseudomonadati; Pseudomonadota; Gammaproteobacteria; Enterobacterales; Enterobacteriaceae. The record is from RNAcentral.